CUGGGCGACAAGAGUGAGACUCCAUCUCAGGAAAAAAAAAAGAAAAAAAGAAAAAAAAAGAAAAUAUUUGGGCUAGAAUUAGGGUGGAAGGGAUCCUCAAGUUUGCCUAGACCAGCCUCUUAUCAGAGACUUUUUUAAAGCCAGUGUUUUAUUGCUAUAUAAUUAAAUGUAAUAAAAUACACUCUUUAAGUGUGCAUUUUGAUGAAUUUUGACAAAUUUAUUCAUACUUGUAAUCAUCACAAUAACAUUUCCAUCACCCAGAAGGUUCCUAGGGCCUCUUUCCAGUCAGCCCCGUCCCAACCCCCAGCCCUACUGAUCUGAUCUUUGUUGUUAGGGCAUUUGUAUUUUCUAGUGUUUCAUAUAACUGAAACAGUAUGUGCUCUUGUGUCUGGCUUCUUUCCAUCGGUAUAAGUAAGUAGUGCCUGGAACAGAGGAAUGACUCAGGGUGUGGUGACUGGACUGGAUGGCACUUUCAAAGCACUGGACCUGUCCCACGAUGGGGCAGUGAGUUUCCCGUCCCUCUACCUAUAAGGUACCUAAAAGGUUUAGCCUUGCGUGUGGUAGAUGUGCUUUGAAGGGGGUUUAGGAGACAGUCUAGGAGAUGACCCUUAAGUAACCUGCCUACAAUCUCCUUUACACUCAGGUGAUCAGUGAAGUUUUUAGAAACCCUGUCUCUACUAAAAAUACAAAAUUAGCCGGGUGCAGUGGCGCAUGCCUGUAAUCCCAGCUACUUGGGAGGCUGAGGCAUAUAAUAAUCCAGCCAGGCACAGUAGCUCACGCCUGGAAUCCCAGCACUUUGGGAGGCCAAGGCAGGUGGAUCACUUGAGGCCAGGAGUUUGAGACCAGCACGGCCAACAUGGUGAAACCCCAUCUCUCCUAAAAAUAAAAAAAUUAGCUGAGUGUGGUGACAUGGGCCUGUAGUCCCAGCUACUUGGGAGGCUGAGGCAUAAGAGUUGCUUGGACCCGGGAACCAGAGGUUGCAGUGAGUUGAGAUCGUGCCACUGCACUCCAGCCUGGGUGAUAGAGCAAGACUCUGUCUCAUAAAUAAAUAAAAUAAAUAAAUGGUUUUGCAUAUAAUAAUUCAAUAACCCUUACAAUACCCCUGUGAGGAAGAGACAGGUACUACUAUUAUCUCAGUUUAACUUAUGGGAACAAACUGAGGCCAAGAAGUGUUAAGUAACUUGUCCAAGGGUUACUCAGUUUGCAAAUGGUAAAGUCAAGAUGUGAACCCAAAAUUUACAUUUUUGUUUUCCUUUGAAAGUCUACCAUGAACAGGACUUCUCAAUUUCUGUGUCCCAGAUCAGUGCUUCUGGAAGCAGAGGACAGGAACCAUGAAACCUUCACCAGAAUGCGCAGGCAAGCCAGCUUCCGGGCUCUAGGCACUCCUUGUUCCCAGAGCCACUGGACUAACCCAAGCCACCUAGAUACUUCUUCCUUGACUGUGGUUCUUUUUUCUUUUCCCUUAGUAGCUUAGUAGAGCAAAAAGGAAUGUUAGGAAAUACAACAUAAAUACAAAGUCUUGGUGACUUCUAAAACGCCAUCUUUAUUCCUGCACCUAGAUGAUGACAGAUUACAAACGCAUAUUUCUACUCUUUAAUUACUAGACCAGUUCCAAUACUACACAAUAGGCAGUCUCCCUAAAAGACAAUAAAAGUUUCAAAGCAAAAAGAGGAUUUUAAAGAAUUCAACUAAAAAAUCCCAUGUUCUUCAAUGGUUAGUGUGUAAAAGAAUUCCCAUAAGAAAAGUAGUACAUUUCUUUCUAUCUCUGAUAAAUGAAGCCCCUUCUGUUUCAGGUUAUAAUGAGCUAUUUUACUCCAAAAGAACAAUUCUCUAUUAUGGAACACUUCUAAGGUGAUAUGGUUCCUGAAACAACAGUGUGUAUAGCAACAGCACUUUCAUGGACUUAACACAAAAAUGUAAACUUUGAAAAACAGGAGGUCACUAUUCAUACUGAGAAAUAGCAGACAAAUGACUGCAGCAUUCCUUAAAAGACAAUCCCCUUCAACCCUGCUAGUGAGUUUAAACAUGAUUACAUUUAUAAAAUUUGAUUUAGUUACAAAAUGUCAAGAGCAUGUCCAGUAUGUUAAAUAAGCCAUAGUUAGUUUAAAUUUUUUUUUUUUUUUUUUUGAGAUGGAGUCUCGCUCUGUCGCCCAGGCUGCAGUGCAGUGGUGUGAUCUCUGCUCACCACAAGCUCUGCCUCCCAGGUUCGCACCAUUCUCCUGCCUCAGCCUCCCGAGUAGCUGGGACCACAGGCGCCCGCCACCACGCCUGGCUAAUUUUUUGUAUUUUUAGUAGAGACGGGGUUUCAUCGUGUUAGCCAGGAUGGUCUCCAUCUCCUGAGCUCGUGAUCCGCCCACCUCGGCCUCCCAAAGUGCUGGGAUUACAGGCGUGAGCCACCGCGCCCGGCCAGUUAGUUUAAAUUUUAAAGCAAACAUCCAUAAAUGUCCAACUAUUAUCUAUGUAACUGAUAUUCUCAAAAUGCUUUUACCACAUAUCAUUACAAUCAUCUUCACAACAGUUCUACAGGUGCGAGCCACAGCAUCUGGCUCAUAGGUGAGAUCUUCAUUGGGUUAAGUGGCUGUUUGGAUUACAAAACAGGGCACUGUGUAUGACAGUGAAAUUUGUUUUACACUCAUACUAACAAAUACGUGGCUCCAGUCCUCAUCAGAGAACCUUCUGUAUGAAAGGCUAACAUUUCACUCCAUAACAACUCAGAAAGUGUAAGUUGUGGAGAACCCCAGGGGUCAACUGAUCUAAUCUCAUGUGAUACAGGAACCCCCUGUAAAUCACUGCACAUCACAGAAUAUGGAUUUUAGAGUUGACAAAGCUGAACUCAAAUCCUCGUUCUGCCUCUUCUUAGCAAAUUACUUCAUGUCUGCAAUGAUGGUUGUAAAGCAUCGCAGGUGCCCUCACUGCUAUGGUCCAUCUGCUUCCCUUUCCAGAUUUUUCACCAUCCUGCCUGUGCUCCUGAAUACACACUCAAGCUAGAAACACAGAGCCCCGAACUUAGGACAGUGAUCUGGCCGGCCACUGCCUAGCAAGACUAUCAUCUCAGGAAACCCAGACCAUGAAGGCGAGUACCUUCUAAGAGCCAGCACUGCAGCUGAUCACCAAAUUGGCUAGCUUUUGUGCCUUUUGCACUUGCUUUAGUGCCAACAGGAUAAAACUGUCAAGGACAAAAUCUAAAUGUUUAUUUACGUGGGGAUGAGUCAGGAAGUAGACUUUAUUUUACUGGGCUCAGGGCCAACAACCUCAUUCAGUGGCCUCCAAAACUAAACACUUUGUUGAGGGAGAAGAGAAAUCGCUCCACAAGAGAUAUAGAAAGGACUGGAAUCUCCGCUUACAGAGCUGUGGACUGCCCAGAACUUACAGCAGGGUCAGCAAAUUUUUUCUGUAAAAGGUAAAAUAGUAACUUUAUGGUCUCUGUGGCAACUACUCAGCUCUGUGAUUGUAGCAUGAAAGCAACUAUAGACAAUACCUAAACAAAUGAGCGUGGCUGUGCUUCAAUCAGAUCUUACAUACAAAAGCAGGCAACAGGCCAGCUUUGGUCCACAGGCUGUAGUCUGGUGACUCCUAGUUUAGAGUACUGUUACUGGCACAUCACAGGCACACAAUAAACAUCAAGUAUAUGAUUCAAUGUACAGUGGCAAGAGAACAAACUGUCAUGCUAAAAUCAUUUCAACCUUAAAAAUAAUUCAGCUUUCCCUAUCUUUUAUUGUUACUGAUUACAGUGAUGGUAUUCAGGUGAACACUCUGCCAUUUAGAAUAUCAUUUAGCCUUAGCCUGUGCAGCUAAUGCAGCUUCUUCACACCACACAGCCAUCUUUGACAUAUUUCAACUUGUUAAUGAUUCAUGUUCGCAGCCCUUUUGGCUGAUGCUAUCACUGCAAAGCAGUGAUAUGUGUGAGUCCAUUCAUUACGGUAACAAGCUUUCCCUCAAGCUUUGUUUCUUGCAAUAUCUAUCAUUUCUAGUGUGAUCUCCUCCACUGAUUUUUAAAAAUCCAGUCAACAGUAGGAUUUUCUUGUUGAACUGUGAAGGCCUGUGCUCGGUAGGGACUUUGUGAAUCAUCCCUGCUUGGGUCCCAGAGCUACUGGAGGGCCCAUCACUGGAGUGGCUGGUGAGACCCUCCAGGGCAUGAGAGUUGCUAUGGGCCUCUGUGUGGCUUCUAGAGGCUUCCCAGGGGCACAAAGACUAUGUGACCCAGGUGGAAGCUCGGGAGGCUCACGCUGGACACAUGCUGCACACUCUGGCUCCCCUGUGGCUGCAGCUGCACCCACCUACCCAGCAUUCUCCCCACGACCUGUCCAGCCCAAGCCCACGGCACUCCCAGGGGAGCCCAGGACACCCUCAACUUUUUAGUGGAUUACUAGAGUAUCAGACCACCCAUUUAUCUCUCAGUUCCUCACUCCCACCCCUGCACCCAGCAAGUCACCAAGUCCCCCAGGUGAGUAAACUGGAGCUAACAGCAGUUGGUACUUACGGCAUAUACUGGAUUUGGCUCACUCACACGUGGUAUUCCUAUCUUCAUCUACUGUAUCUUCCUGGACUACAUAAGCUGCAAAGUUAAAAACUGCAUUUCUCAGAUUCCCUUGAGCUAGGUUCCAGACGUGAUUUAUUAUCAGUCAAUCAAACACAUUCGCAUGAGUUUUGUAUAGGGAACAAUGUUAAGUCGGAAGAAAGGCAGAAUGCAAGACACGGUUCUGGAGCCAGCAGCUUUAUUGGUAGCAUCCUGACUCAAUAGGCAGCUUUCCUGAUAAUAGCAGGAACAUCAGCCUCCUUGGUGGCCCACUCAUUGUGUGGCUCUGGAAAUCAUUCCUGGAUAUUCCACCUAGUCUGUUUCUUUAGCUUUCCCAACAACUCUGUGAGCCAUGUAACAUUCUGUAAUAAAUUUCUUUCUGCUUAAAUUAGUUAAAAGCCUCUUUUGUUUUCUGCAAAUGAACCCUGAGCAAUAUAGUUGACUAAGAUCAAACAACUACAAGUCAUGCGUUGUUUAACGAUGGAGAUACAUUCUGAGACAUACACUGUUAUGUGAUUUUGUCUCACAAACAUCACAUAGAGUAUAUUUACACAAAUCCAAAUGGUAUAGCCUACUACACACCUAGGCUAUAUGGGAUAGUCUGUUGCUCCUAGGCUACAAAUCUGUAUAGCAUGUUACUGUACUAAAGACUGUAGGCAACUGUAACACUGGUUACAAUGGUAAAUAUUGGUAAAUAUGGUAAACAAUGGUAAAUAUCUGUAUAUCUAAACAUAAAAAAGGUACAGUAAAAAUAUAAUCAUGGGACCACCACAACGUUGUUAUUCAGUGCAUGACUGUAUUAGCUCAGACGUUAACCAAAAUGAGUCUGCCUUCAAAGCUCCAUUCACUCAAUCUCUAUACUACACCACUGCAGUUCUGGGAGGCUGUUCUCCCUCAGGUCUCCCAGCUCUUCUAAUGUCUGCUGAAGUUGGAAUUCUCUUCUGCACAUGGACUACGAAACUGACAUGCUCAGUUAUCAUUUCAUACUAGCUAAAGGAUCUUCUCCUUUGUGAAGCAUCCCUCACCACUACUACUGUGAUGGGUCGGGGCCUUUCAUCUGUUUUUCCACAGCAUCUAUGCUUCUCUUCACUGUAUCAUUUAUCAAAUUGAUGAUUUCUGCGUCCUGUAAUAAACAGUGAGUACCUUAAGAACAAAUGUCAUUUCUUAUUUCUCUCUACCCUCAGCAACUGGCUUAUUAGAAUAAACAAAUAGUUAAUGCUGCUAAGUGAAUGAAUGACCUAAUAUAAUGGGAAAACAUAACUUGGAGGAUGGUUCAGUUGGCCGGCUUUAUAACAUGUUAAGAUGCAAUAAUGGACAGGAAAGCAUGAACAAAGUACAAAGCGCUGUUAUCCACCAUCAUAAGUCUUUGUCUAUAUCCAUCUUGUCUACAUGGGCUCUCUAAGGGCAGAAUCCUAGCUAGCUGAUCUGUAUCUAGCACAGAGCUUGUUUCUUAGUGUAUGGAAUGAAAUCAUCCACUAAAAAUUAUUAGUUGAAUGUGGCUGGUGCCAAAUACUCUUCCGGGCAGAUCAAAAGAGAUCUCAACCAAGAUACAAAUGAUAUAAUAUAAUAUUUUUCUUUCUUUCUUUUUUGUUUUGAGAUGGAGUCUCACUCUGUUGCCCAGACUGGAGUGCAGUGGCAUGAUCUUGGCUCACUGCAAGCUCCGCCUCCCGAGUUCAAGCGACUCUUGUGCCUCAAUCUCCCAAGUAGCUGGGAUUACAGGCUACUAUUUUUAGUAGAGACGGGGUUUCACUCAGCGGGGCUGGUCUUGAACUCCUAGCCUCAAGUGAUCCUCCCGCCUCGGUCUCCCAAAGUGCUGGGAUUACAGGCAUGAGCCACUGCACCUGGACGAUAUAAUAUUUUUCUCUUUUAAGAGCAAACAAUAAAGAAUUUAAACUCAUUUGCUUUUAGCAAAAGCAGUACUGUUUGCUCUUAAAAGACAUAAUUUUUUAAUCUUUUAAGAGCAAACAAUACUGCUUUUGCUAAAAGCAAAUGAGUUUAAAUUCUUUUCAUAUCAUUCAGGCCAUUUUGAGGAAGGUCUGGCAGAGCCUUUUGGUUGUUCCCCAAUAUCUUUCUCCCAUUCUUCCUGAGUAUUAGAGUCAUCGCAUGUAAACCAGGCAUUAGUCACCCAGAAUAAAGACUGCAUGUCCUCGCUCCUUGAAGUGAGAGAUGGCCAUGUGACUUAAGUUCUAGUCAAUGGAAUGCAAGUAAAAUUAGAGUGUACAACUUUUGGGAAGUGUCUUUAAACAAACCACAGGGUGGAGAUGAUACCUUUCUCUUCCCGUUUCCUUUUCCCCACAGGAUGGAAUACAGGGGGGACAGUUAGAUUCUGAAUUGUUAAGCAGAGCUGCUUGAUGCAGAAGAUGAAGACACAAGAAAGAAUGAGCCUAGGCCGGGCACAGUGGCUCACGCCUGUAAUUCCAGCACUUCGGGAGGCCGAGGCGGGAGGAUCACUUGAGCUCAGGAGUUUGAGACCGGCCUGGCCACCAUGGUGAAACCUCGACUCUACCAAAAAAAAAAAAAAAAAGCCAAAAUUAGCCGGGUGUGGUGGCAUAUGCCUGUGGUCCCAGCUACUUGGGAGGCUGAAGUGGGAGAAUCACUUGAGCCCAGGAGGCUGCAGUUGCAGUGAGCUGAUAUUAUGCCACUGCACUCCAGCCUGGGUGACAGGGUGAGACCCUGUC
RNAcentral lists this long non-coding RNA (7194 nucleotides) under Homo sapiens (human). RNAcentral's name for it is "HSALNT0123754". Lineage: Eukaryota; Metazoa; Chordata; Mammalia; Primates; Hominidae. The record is from RNAcentral.